GGCCUCCGAAAGGCCCCAGCGCGCCUCCACAGUCCCCCUUGUGCCCGGGGCGGGCCUGGGGAGCACAGCCCACCGGCCUAACCAGGAAGCCGGGACACUGUAGGCGCAGCCGCGCAGGUUCGGCGGGGAAGGAAGCUGGCGGUCACUCGGUCUCCCGCACUGUGGAGUCCUGCCCUUGAGGACACCACCGGCGGCUGAAAGGUGGAGGCCACCCCAGCGUCUCAGAGCUCAGCCCAGAUCCAGUGACGGUUCAAGGAAACAAUGACAAUUUGGCUUCCUGCUCUUACGUUAUAGACUUGACAGAGGUCGAUGUACAUCUCCUGGCGGCAGCAGCGGGGGGCCUCCGACCCAGGCACCUCGGGGUCACAAUCGCCCUGAGCUCUGCGCGGGCAAGGAGAAG
Molecule: non-coding RNA, 400 nt
Organism: Leptonychotes weddellii (Weddell seal)
Lineage: Eukaryota; Metazoa; Chordata; Mammalia; Carnivora; Phocidae
Source: RefSeq, a predicted model, not a curated record